Molecule: long non-coding RNA, 1324 nt
Organism: Oreochromis aureus
Lineage: Eukaryota; Metazoa; Chordata; Actinopteri; Cichliformes; Cichlidae
Source: Ensembl
UUCAUUUAUGGAGGCUGUUGAGUCUGAAUGUUGGAUGUUGUGUAUCUCGUGUUCUCUGGGCUUUGUUGUCCUCAGUCUUUUUGCAGGAUCAGGAAACAAAACCAGGAGACCUGUAAAUGUUUCUUCUCCAGUUGGAUGAUGAUAAGACUGUGACACGGGAUGCCACCUUUGGUCUUGUGAUGAAGCAAAGCUCAGGAAGAAGUGUGAUUAAAUGGUACCCACAUGUGUGCUGCUGAGAAGGAUGUACAGGGGCACCUGCAGCCAAAUCCAAGCCUCCUCAGCAACUUCAGGUCUGUCAGCGUGCUGAGGUCACAGAAACAAGAAAAGCAGCUUCAGACUUCAGAGUGUUGUUUACAGUUUUCUGUCAUCAUGAUCUCCCCUGAAGUUUAUCACUAUUAUACAAGCAAGCAGAGCGGCAGUUUGUGCUCACAGAUGGUGACGGUGUGGAGAGACGGUGGUGUUUCCUCAGAAGAACCAGUCACAAAGAGUCCAUCUCACCACCUUGACUUGCUGACUGAUGCUCGUCUGCACUGCACAGAGGAAAUCAACUGACCGAGGAGUGUUUCUGGGUGAGGGAGAGAGGAGUCAUCAUCCAGGUAAAGUGACGUGGAUCAGUGGAUACACUUGUCUCCCCUUUAAAGGAGAUACUCUUAGAGAGAGACGAUCCGAGUCAUCCUUAAAUAUGGGAAGGAUAUCACUAUUAGACUGUCUAACCUGCCGGAGCAGCACUGAAUGAUCACCACACAUGAGCAUGUUCCUGCAACAUUCAGCAGCUUUGCUUUUGCUGGAGAGGAAACUACACCAGUGUACUGGGAUGUUUCACCAACACGUGCCAGACGCUGUAACUUCAUGGUGACAUCACCAGAGACAGCCCCGCCCACCUCAGGACCUCGCCAUUGAUCAUGAUGAUUAUAAUGAUGACAGCGAGCGGAACUAAGACUGUAAAAAUCCACGACCAGAAUGUUUAGAUGCUUUCUAAUUAUUCAUGAAUACUGAGAGCCUCUUUCUGUGUUUUGUCUGUUUUUUUUGUUUGUUUUUUUUACCUUAUUUGUUACUAACAAACUCACACUGUUUACAUUUACAUGUAUGUUUCCAUCUUUACCAGCCACACUCUGCCUGCAUUUAGAAAACAAACCUUAGAAAUCGUCGUUUUUCUCUUUUGUAAUUCAGUGAAUAUACUGCGCUGCUUCCUUUUAUUGCGUCAAACAUUGCUUUAAGUUUUUCAGUAUCCAGUUAUUUUUUACUGCUGUUUGAAUUCUCUGCAUGUUUGACCCUGUAGACUGUUUGAUGGACUGCUUGUCUUCCUGUUUGUAACCGCCGCCUG